AGAGUUUGAUUAUGGCUCAGGAUGAACGCUAGCUACAGGCUUAACACAUGCAAGUCGAGGGGCAGCAUUGGAGUAGCAAUACUUCAGAUGGCGACCGGCGCACGGGUGAGUAACACGUAUCCAACCUGCCGCUUACUCGGGGAUAGCCUUUCGAAAGAAAGAUUAAUACCCGAUGGUAUAAAGAGUUCGCAUGUUCUCUUUAUUAAAGAAUUUCGGUAAGCGAUGGGGAUGCGUUCCAUUAGAUAGUUGGCGGGGUAACGGCCCACCAAGUCUACGAUGGAUAGGGGUUCUGAGAGGAAGGUCCCCCACAUUGGAACUGAGACACGGUCCAAACUCCUACGGGAGGCAGCAGUGAGGAAUAUUGGUCAAUGGACGAGAGUCUGAACCAGCCCAAGUAGCGUGAAGGAUGACUGCCCUAUGGGUUGUAAACUUCUUUUAUAAGGGAAUAAAGUGAGGGACGUGUCCCUUUUUGUAUGUACCUUAUGAAUAAGGAUCGGCUAACUCCGUGCCAGCCGCGGC
Molecule: ribosomal RNA, 519 nt
Filed under: uncultured bacterium
Lineage: Bacteria
Description: bacterial SSU rRNA
Rfam family: Bacterial small subunit ribosomal RNA
Source: RNAcentral